RNAcentral lists this ribosomal RNA (505 nucleotides) under uncultured bacterium. Its description in RNAcentral is "partial 16S ribosomal RNA". It matches the Rfam family "Bacterial small subunit ribosomal RNA", at positions 30 to 523 of the family's 1533-position model. The record is from RNAcentral.
AUUGAACGCUGGCGGCAGGCCUAACACAUGAAGUCGAACGGUAGCACAGAGGAGCUUGCUCCUUGGGUGACGAGUGGCGGACGGGUGAGUAAUGUCUGGGAAACUGCCCGAUGGAGGGGGAUAACUACUGGAAACGGUAGCUAAUACCGCAUAACGUCGCAAGACCAAAGAGGGGGACCUUCGGGCCUCUUGCCAUCGGAUGUGCCCAGAUGGGAUUAGCUAGUAGGUGGGGUAACGGCUCACCUAGGCGACGAUCCCUAGCUGGUCUGAGAGGAUGACCAGCCACACUGGAACUGAGACACGGUCCAGACUCCUACGGGAGGCAGCAGUGGGGAAUAUUGCACAAUGGGCGCAAGCCUGAUGCAGCCAUGCCGCGUGUAUGAAGAAGGCCUUCGGGUUGUAAAGUACUUUCAGCGAGGAGGAAGGCGUUGUGGUUAAUAACCGCAGCGAUUGACGUUACUCGCAGAAGAAGCACCGGCUAACUCCGUGCCAGCAGCCGCCGUAA